This 75-nucleotide transfer RNA is filed under the name Planctomycetota bacterium. RNAcentral's name for it is "tRNA-Pro". It matches the Rfam family "tRNA". Rfam says of the family: Transfer RNA (tRNA) molecules are approximately 80 nucleotides in length. Their secondary structure includes four short double-helical elements and three loops (D, anti-codon, and T loops). The record is from RNAcentral. Lineage: Bacteria; Pseudomonadati; Planctomycetota.
CGGGGCGUAGCUCAGCCUGGUUAGAGUGCUUGACUGGGGGUCAAGAGGUCGCAGGUUCAAAUCCUGUCGCCCCGA